UAAAUUUUAGUUUAAAUUAAAAUUUAAUAGUUACAAUAUUAAGAUAUAAAAAUAUAAAUUUAA
Molecule: transfer RNA, 63 nt
Filed under: Microgaster sp. SNS-2016
Lineage: Eukaryota; Metazoa; Arthropoda; Insecta; Hymenoptera; Braconidae
Description: tRNA-Val
Source: RNAcentral